This 449-nucleotide ribosomal RNA is filed under the name uncultured bacterium. RNAcentral describes it as "partial 16S ribosomal RNA". It matches the Rfam family "Bacterial small subunit ribosomal RNA", at positions 29 to 523 of the family's 1533-position model. The record is from RNAcentral.
AACGAACGCUGGCGGCAGGCUUAACACAUGCAAGUCGAACGAGAUCUUCGGAUCUAGUGGCAGACGGGUGAGGAACACGUGGGAACAUCCCUUUCAGUUCGGAAUAACGUUGGGAAACUAACGCUAAUACCGGAUACGUCCUUCGGGAGAAAGAUUUAUCGCUGAAAGAUUGGCCCGCGUCUGAUUAGCUAGUUGGUGAGGUAAUGGCUCACCAAGGCUACGAUCAGUAGCUGAUCUGAGGGGAUGAUCAGCCACAUUGGGACUGAGACACGGCCCAAACUCCUACGGGAGGCAGCAGUGGGGAAUAUUGGACAAUGGGCGCAAGCCUGAUCCAGCCAUGCCGCGUGAGUGUUGAAGGCCUUCGGGUUGUAAAGCUCUUUUAUCCGGGAAGAUAAUGACUGUACCGGAAGAAUAAGCCCCGGCAAACUUCGUGCCAGCCGCCGCCGUAA